UGUGGCGAGAACAUUCAGUCAUAGCGUCGUGUCGCUUUGCUGGGCAUGCAUUAUGGUUCACGCGACGUGGCCGGCCCGGCUAGCGUUGCACGGCGAGCUGACGCAUUUGUUUCUCGCCCGAAGGACGCCGCAACCGGUUGGAGGACGGUCUUAAAGGCGAGAGCCGGCAGGUGGCCGUGCGGCGUGCCUCGUGCGCGUCGCCGGUUGUUAGCCUUCUCGCAGAACGACCCGUCCGCCGACCGUGGCAAUAGAGAGGCCCGGCUGGGCUUCGUCGUCUCCUCCCAUGGCUAGCGUGUAAAGAGGCGUCGCAGGAGUUCGGAGCGGUGUAGUCACACGGAUCAACUUCGUGGGCACACGCCGCUACGUCUCUGUUGGCUUGAUGCAAGGCACGCGGGGGUGAUUGACGGUUAGCGGCGAGUAAAUCGGUCACCCACCCGACCCGUCUUGAAACACGGACCAAGGAGUUG
Molecule: ribosomal RNA, 467 nt
Filed under: Agyneta ramosa
Lineage: Eukaryota; Metazoa; Arthropoda; Arachnida; Araneae; Linyphiidae
Description: partial 28S ribosomal RNA
Source: RNAcentral